CCUCCUUAAAAUAAAAAUCGUCUGAGGUAGGCGUUCACACGAAUUAUUUGUUUUACCCAAAUUAGUUUUUUACUAAGAGUACGGUGAGUUUUUUAACAUUUUUAUAAGUUCAAUCAAGUCGCAUUAAUUAAAUCAUUUAUGUGGUUUAAAUUAAUGUGCAAAUGUCACCAAAUCCGUCGUGUUUUUAUAAAUACAUUUAUUUGGUGAACAUACUGCAAAGUAAUUUUGGCGUUAUGUAAUAUAGAUAUACUUGAAAGAUCUUUAUAUCAGGCAUUAAAUUGCUUGAUGUAAUAUGGUCAAGUAACUAAGCGCAUACGGUGGAUGC
Molecule: unclassified non-coding RNA, 325 nt
Filed under: uncultured marine bacterium 311
Lineage: Bacteria
Description: partial 16S-23S ribosomal RNA intergenic spacer
Source: RNAcentral